Octopus bimaculoides (California two-spot octopus) is the source of this 74-nucleotide non-coding RNA. The record is from Rfam. Lineage: Eukaryota; Metazoa; Mollusca; Cephalopoda; Octopoda; Octopodidae.
GGUAGUUUAGCUUAAUCGGUCAAAGCAUCAUGACAUGUAAUCAUGGGGAUGUGAGUUUGAGUCCACAGCUAGCC